GUCUUUAAGAUUUAUAAUUUAAGGUUUAAUCUGCCCAAUGAGGAUUUAAAUGGCUGCAGUAAUUUGACUGUACAAAGGUAGCAUAAUAAUUAGUUUUUUAAUUAAAAGCUGGUAUGAAUGAUUGGACGAGAGAGUAACUAUUUAAAAUUAAUAUAAAUAGAAUUUUAUUUUUAAGUUAAAAAGCUUAAAUUUAUUUAAAAGACGAGAAGACCCUAUAGAGUUUUAUAUAUAAUUAGUUUUAACUUUUUUUUUGAUUUUAGAAUUAAAGGUAUAUUUUAUUGGGGUAAUAAGAAAAUUAAAUUAACUUUUUUACUAUAUUAACAAAAAUUUUUGGUUAAAUGAUCUUUAAUUAAGGAUUGAUAGAUUUAAUUACCUUAGGGAUAACAGCGUAAUUAUUUUGUAGAGUUCUUAUCAAUAAAAUAGAUUGCGACCUCGAUGUUGGAUUAAGAUAAAGCUUUAAUGUAGAAGUUAAAAUGUUAAGUCUGUUCGACUUUUAAAAUCUUAUAUGAUC
RNAcentral lists this ribosomal RNA (511 nucleotides) under Bryaxis curtisii. RNAcentral's name for it is "partial 16S ribosomal RNA". The stretch from base 380 to 511 matches the Rfam family "Archaeal large subunit ribosomal RNA", at positions 2542 to 2674 of the family's 2987-position model. Lineage: Eukaryota; Metazoa; Arthropoda; Insecta; Coleoptera; Staphylinidae. The record is from RNAcentral.